UCAGUUACAUAUUUUCUUAUCGUAUAUCCGAGGCACAGAUUUUUUGGCAAUAUUUCACGCACAGAUAUUUUGGCAAUAUUUCACGCAAUUUGAUGAAAAAUAAAGUUCGGACUUUGCCAAACGUGGAAAAAAACAUGGCCGCUAAGCCUGCGCACUAAGACGCCGGUCAAAACAUUUGCUUCAUUUUGGGUUGACAAUAUAAUCAAAUUCCAUUCGUAGCUGCUGGAAACUGAUCGAUAUGCCGCGGCAAAAAAGAAUCACCGUUCACGAUCCGUGGAAGCUGGAGAGAACUAUUACUAUUUUAGGAAGGGGUUUUCGACUAGAAGCACGGCAGGUCUAUACGGAAUCGCUGUCAGUAUUCUACACUCCACGGUGAAAAAUCUGCUAUACAUAACCGUCCAGGAAAACCAAUCAUAUUGUCGGAAGAAGAUGAGGAUCGCAUAUCGGAUUUUAUUGUCCGGUCAGCUGAAUCUGGCUUCUCCAUCGGCACAAGCCGCUUAAGAAUAUCGGAAGAAAAUGGAUUCAGUUUGGAUUUGGAGUUUGGACUCAUCAAGAUCCGGAUAUUUAGAGACGGAUCCCGAUCUAAACAGCAAAGAAAGCGAUCAGGUCCGCUGGAUCCGCUAAAAAGGCCUGGAGAAUUGCUAAUAGAUUGCCACUUUGUUGUAAACUGCAGUUGUAAACCAUCAAUAAAUAUCAUUGCUUUUGUUUGAUACAUAUGGAUUUAUUGCAGUCUAUAAUUAGGAACACUUUUGUCCAUUAUUAGGAACAAAUACUUAUUGACUGUUCAGAAUAACGAAAAUGGACACGGUUUUCAAAAAUAAAUCGUCUGACUGAUCCCUUAUGAUUAUGCAACCAAUAUAGAGCCCUGCCCUAAGUUAAAAUAUAUAUUUAGCACAUUCGAAGGUAGUCAAUACCGACGACUAAAAAGAAAACCUCUUGUUUUAAUUAAGCCGUUAUCUUCAGAUUUUUUUAAGUGUUCAGAAUAUGGUGCCGGCACGGUAAACCAGGAUUUUCAUCACGAUCAUUUCAAGAUUCUCAUAAGAUAGGGGUAGUUUCUCCUUACUAGUAUAAAGUUUGAUAACCACUUUUGAUGACUUAAAAUAAAAAUGUAUUACGUUUGUUAAGGUUUCGAUGAUUCAAAAAUUCAAUACGUUAUUUUUUAUGCAAAACAUAGUAAAUGAUUUUCUCAAAUAUAUUUGACGCUGAGCCUAGAUAAUUCGUUUUUAUAUUUGUCACUAAAAUUGGACGCUAGACCUCUUAAUCUUAGUUCUCAGAGCUGCCCCUGUACAAAAGAUUGUUCGUAACAUCCUAAGCUAAUAUUUGAAGGUUGAGACCUCAAGUUUUCUGACAAAGUAAAAUGUUGGGACACCCUAGUGGGGACGUUCUCAGUGAU
Molecule: long non-coding RNA, 1393 nt
Organism: Aedes aegypti (yellow fever mosquito)
Lineage: Eukaryota; Metazoa; Arthropoda; Insecta; Diptera; Culicidae
Exons: 3
Source: RefSeq, a predicted model, not a curated record